Molecule: ribosomal RNA, 1373 nt
Filed under: uncultured bacterium
Lineage: Bacteria
Description: 16S ribosomal RNA
Rfam family: Bacterial small subunit ribosomal RNA
Source: RNAcentral
UGAACGCUGGCGGUAUGCUUAACACAUGCAAGUCGAACGGAAACGAUACUAGCUUGCUAGUAGGCGUCGAGUGGCGGACGGGUGAGUAACGCGUAGGAAUCUGCCUGAUAGUGGGGGAUAGCCCGAAGAAAUUCGGAUUAAUACCGCAUAAUCUAUUCGUAGUAAAGUGGGGGACUUUCGAGCCUCACGCUAUCAGAUGAGCCUGCGUAAGAUUAGCUUGUUGGUAGGGUAAAAGCCUACCAAGGCGACGAUCUUUAGCUGGUCUGAGAGGAUGAUCAGCCACAUCGGGACUGAGACACGGCCCGAACUCCUACGGGAGGCAGCAGUGGGGAAUAUUGGACAAUGGGGGCAACCCUGAUCCAGCAAUACCGCGUGUGUGAAGAAGGCCUGAGGGUUGUAAAGCACUUUCAAUUGUGAAGAAAAGUUAGCGGUUAAUAACCGUUAGCCUUGACGUUAACUUUAGAAGAAGCACCGGCUAACUCCGUGCCAGCAGCCGCGGUAAUACGGAGGGUGCAAGCGUUAAUCGGAAUUACUGGGCGUAAAGCGUGCGUAGGCGGUUUAUUAAGUCAGAUGUGAAAGCCCCGGGCUUAACCUGGGAACUGCAUUUGAAACUGGUCAACUAGAGUAUGGUAGAGGAAAGUGGAAUUUCUGGUGUAGCGGUGAAAUGCGUAGAUAUCAGAAGGAACAUCAAUGGCGAAGGCAGCUUUCUGGACCAAUACUGACGCUGAGGUACGAAAGCGUGGGUAGCAAACAGGAUUAGAUACCCUGGUAGUCCACGCCGUAAACGAUGAUAACUAGCCGUUGGGGGGAUUUACCCUUUAGUGGCGAAGCUAACGCGUUAAGUUAUCCGCCUGGGGAGUACGGCCGCAAGGUUAAAACUCAAAGGAAUUGACGGGGACCCGCACAAGCGGUGGAGCAUGUGGUUUAAUUCGAUGCAACGCGAAGAACCUUACCUGGUCUUGACAUCCUGCGAACUUUCUAGAAAUAGAUUGGUGCCUUCGGGAACGCAGUGACAGGUGCUGCAUGGCUGUCGUCAGCUCGUGUCGUGAGAUGUUGGGUUAAGUCCCGUAACGAGCGCAACCCCUAUCCUUAUUUGCCAGCACAUCAUGGUGGGAACUAUAAGGAGACUGCCGGUGAUAAACCGGAGGAAGGCGGGGACGACGUCAAGUCAUCAUGGCCCUUACGACCAGGGCUACACACGUGCUACAAUGGGAAGGACAAAGAGCCGCGAAGCCGCGAGGUGUAGCUAAUCUCAUAAACCUUUUCGUAGUCCGGAUUGGAGUCUGCAACUCGACUCCAUGAAGUCGGAAUCGCUAGUAAUCGUAGAUCAGAAUGCUACGGUGAAUACGUUCCCGGGUCUUGUACACACCGCC